This 164-nucleotide ribosomal RNA is filed under the name Pinanga rumphiana. RNAcentral's name for it is "5.8S rRNA". It matches the Rfam family "5.8S ribosomal RNA". Rfam says of the family: 5.8S ribosomal RNA (5.8S rRNA) is a component of the large subunit of the eukaryotic ribosome. It is transcribed by RNA polymerase I as part of the 45S precursor that also contains 18S and 28S rRNA. The record is from RNAcentral. Lineage: Eukaryota; Viridiplantae; Streptophyta; Magnoliopsida; Arecales; Arecaceae.
ACGAUGACUCUCGGCAACGGAUAUCUCGGCUCUCGCAUCGAUGAAGAACGUAGCGAAAUGCGAUACCUGGUGUGAAUUGCAGAAUCCCGUGAACCAUCGAGUCUUUGAACGCAAAUUGCGCCCGAGGCCACCCGAUCGAGGGCACGCCUGCCUGGGUGUCACGC